AACCUUAUGGACCUGCGGGCGUAUACCUGCGGAGGGAUCAUUACAGAGUUGCAAAACUCCCUAAACCAUUGUGAACGUUACCUAAACCGUUGCUUCGGCGGGCGGCCCGGGUCCUUCCCGGCGCCCCUCGGCCCUCGCGGGCGCCCGCCGGAGGUAAACCAAACUAUUGCAUUGUAUGGCCUCUCUGAGUCUUCUGUACUGAAUAAGUCAAAACUUUCAGCAACGGAUCUCAGAUCGGAA
This 240-nucleotide unclassified non-coding RNA is filed under the name soil metagenome. RNAcentral's name for it is "partial contains 5.8S ribosomal RNA, internal transcribed spacer 2, and large subunit ribosomal RNA". The record is from RNAcentral.